RNAcentral lists this unclassified non-coding RNA (278 nucleotides) under Streptomyces sp. 300b. RNAcentral's name for it is "16S-23S ribosomal RNA intergenic spacer". The record is from RNAcentral. Lineage: Bacteria; Bacillati; Actinomycetota; Actinomycetes; Kitasatosporales; Streptomycetaceae.
UUUUUAAGAGGCCUUUUGGCCCCCCUCGACGGUGGUUGCUCAAGGGUGGAACGUUGAUUAUUCCGCACUGGCGGGUGUCUUCGGCUUCCAGUACUGGUCUUCCGGGCGUGGAAAGGUGAACCCCAAUGGAGGGGGGGCCGGGGCCCCUUUUGGGGUUUUGAAGGGACCGUUUUUUCCACCUUCCUUUCGUGCCCCCCCCCGGGAAAUUGGCCUGUGAGGGGGGGGUGAGGGGGGGUGGGCCUUUUUUUGAAAACUGCACAGGGGACGCGAGCUUUUGG